AAAAGUAGUCGGAUAAUCGCGCAAAUUUUAUUUGUGAGGAAAGUCCGAGCAUCUUAGGGCAAAUCGACUGAUAACAUCAGCUACAUGUGAAUGUGAGGAUAGUGCCACAGAAAUAAACCGCCAAUUUACUUUUUAAGUAACGGUAAGGGUGCAACGGCGAGGUAAGAGCUCACCGACAAUGCCGAGAGGUGUUGUGCUAGGUAAACCCCGAUUGGAUGCAAGAUUGACUGGAAGGUUUUAACGUGACCCGCUACUUCCGACAAAUCGCUUGAGGUUGCAAGCAAUUGUAAUCCCAGAUAAAUGAUUAUCUUAAAACAGAACUCGGCUUAUGAACUGCUUUUUAUU
Molecule: RNase P RNA, 345 nt
Filed under: bacterium
Lineage: Bacteria
Description: RNase P RNA component class A
Rfam family: Bacterial RNase P class A
About the family: Ribonuclease P (RNase P) is a ubiquitous endoribonuclease, found in archaea, bacteria and eukarya as well as chloroplasts and mitochondria. Its best characterised activity is the generation of mature 5'-ends of tRNAs by cleaving the 5'-leader elements of precursor-tRNAs.
Source: RNAcentral